RNAcentral lists this small nuclear RNA (119 nucleotides) under Anneissia japonica. Its description in RNAcentral is "U5 spliceosomal RNA". It matches the Rfam family "U5 spliceosomal RNA". Rfam says of the family: U5 RNA is a component of both types of known spliceosome. The record is from RNAcentral. Lineage: Eukaryota; Metazoa; Echinodermata; Crinoidea; Comatulida; Comatulidae.
UCACUCUUGUUUCUCUGCAUCACGGAUAAAUCUUUCGUCUUUUACUGAAGAUUUCCGUGCAGAGGAACUCUCAUUGAGUUUAAACUCAAUUUUUCUCAGCCCUUGAGAAAAUCAAGAGU